RNAcentral lists this ribosomal RNA (253 nucleotides) under uncultured bacterium. Its description in RNAcentral is "partial 16S ribosomal RNA". It matches the Rfam family "Bacterial small subunit ribosomal RNA", at positions 524 to 776 of the family's 1533-position model. The record is from RNAcentral.
UACGUAGGUGGCAAGCGUUGUCCGGAUUUACUGGGCGUAAAGGGCUCGUAGGCGGUCUGUCACGUCGGGAGUGAAAACACGGGGCUUAACCCCGUGCCUGCUUCCGAUACGGGCAGACUAGAGGUAUGCAGGGGAGAACGGAAUUCCUGGUGUAGCGGUGAAAUGCGCAGAUAUCAGGAAGAACACCCGUGGCGAAAGCGGCUCUCUGGAACGGUACUGACGCUGAGACGCGAAAGCGUGGGGAGCGAACAGG